RNAcentral lists this transfer RNA (72 nucleotides) under Myxococcales bacterium. RNAcentral describes it as "tRNA-Lys". It matches the Rfam family "tRNA". Rfam says of the family: Transfer RNA (tRNA) molecules are approximately 80 nucleotides in length. Their secondary structure includes four short double-helical elements and three loops (D, anti-codon, and T loops). The record is from RNAcentral. Lineage: Bacteria; Pseudomonadati; Myxococcota; Myxococcia; Myxococcales. RNAcentral also lists the same sequence under 1 other name.
AGGUCCGUAGCGUAACGGGAGCGCACUCGGCUCUUAAUCGAUGUGGUGAGGGUUCGACUCCCUCCGGACCUA